RNAcentral lists this microRNA precursor (75 nucleotides) under Tursiops truncatus (common bottlenose dolphin). RNAcentral's name for it is "miRNA (ENSTTRG00000024939.1)". The record is from RNAcentral. Lineage: Eukaryota; Metazoa; Chordata; Mammalia; Artiodactyla; Delphinidae.
UAUGUAGCUAAGUACCUAAUACAGAGUAGCAUCUCAUGAUCUGACACUAUUCUGUAUUAGGCACUUAUCUACUUA